CGGCUGACACAAUUAAAUUACAACUCACUUUUCAUCAGAUCGAUUUUUUAGUUGCAUUGGCUAGAGCAUGCACUUUUACACCACCAUCUCGAAAUUCAGACACGGCGCUCGCACGAAUUUCUGCAGCUGUAGCAAUGGGCCGGUCAGCAGCACCCAGAUCGCCGUCUAUCUCUCAUCAGCGAGCGGGAAAAAGGAGUAGUAUUCGGUACGAAGGUAGUCAAGGCACUCUAGCCGAAAGUGUUACUACACGAUAACAAUCAAUAAUAUUCGGCAAUCAUGAUCGAGGCACGCACGCACACACACAGACACAACACAGUACGGAUCACAUCGUCCAGCUACUACCGGAUGCUCAUUGUUUUCCUUCAAAAGCAAAGCAAAGUGUUACUGUUACACUUUCACGGUUUCACCAGCGCACUUAAUUGACAUGAGAUCUCCCCGUCACCGUCGAAGAGUUCCAAAAGGUAAUUAGUAACACAGUUUUUUUUUUCCUGCAGGGGACCCUGAACAAGCAACAGGCAUAGGCAAGCUUCACGUGACAAGCAUAAAUACCAAUCAAAAAGAUGAAACGAAAGCAAUGCAAAACCAAAUCGUAGGAAUAGGGGACUGGUGCAUGGUAAGAUUUGUGAAUCGAACAAACAAAGGCAGAGGAGGUGAGGGGAGGUGGGAGAGAACCAAAUUCGCGUGAGUGACAGUACUCCAACCCCACCACCCCCAUGCAUGCGGCAUGCCCGGUGUGUAUUUAUUUCCCCAUGCUUUAAGGAAAGAAGAGACCAAAGAGAUCUCAACAAAGUGGGGGAGCAGCCGAGCCUCAUAGAGUAGAGGAGGGGGAGGUGCGAUGCCAAUCAAGAGAUGGUGCAACCACACCUAAAUUAUAUGCCUCUUCAGAUUGGCAGGAUGGUACCAAAGGGCCUCAUCUCUCCUGCCUGCAGCAUCACGCACGCAGUGCUGCUUUCAGAGAUCACUCCGCUCCACCCAACCAAACAAGCAGCCAGGCAGGCAUUAUUGCUGAGAAUUUUACAAGAAUGAGGAAUCCACGGCCGAGUACACUACCACGAACAGGAAGUAUGAUAACAAUAAAGGCAACUGCACAAGAAAUGUAUCAAGAAAAAUAUACUUCAACCACUGCCCAGCGUAUGCAAGUGCCCAUGAUGCACCUGCCUGAACUGCACGCCUUGACAGUGCACCAGCUUUUAAUUGCAACAAGAGAAGAGAUUCCAAGCCACGAUUUGAUUAGGCGGGCGGGCGGGCGGGCAGGCAAAGUGUGCAAACAAGCUCAUUUUCUUGUAGACUAAUGCGCCUUCUUUCGCAACUUCUCAGGAAUCAUGGCCAUCACCACACCACCACCGGUCUUUCUAUCUACUUAACGUGGUGCUCAAACCAAAGCAUAUGGGCCUUGUCAGAGAGAGCCCUUUCCUUUGGCCCCAAGCUCACACUUCUCCAUGCCAUCGCCACCUACUCUUCUGUUGCUCCCAUUAGCAUCCUUGUCUGCAUCCUUUUUUCUUGCGUUCCAUUCUUUCCUUUCGUAUAUAUCCUGCUCUUCUUGGUUGGAUAACCAACCAUGGCAGGCAGGCAGGCAGCUAGGCGUUGGACUUUUAAUUAUAGUAGUAGUAAGCGAUGUUACGGGGAGACUAGACUGAUGAGUGUUUCCAGGAGGAGCGCCAAUCGCCCUCACAUGCCCUGCUGCCUUUAUAUUAUCGCACUCCUCUGAACCCACCCUCUGAUCCUUCUCAUGCGAGCAAGCGAGCAAACCACCCGUCUUCUCUGGCCUCAACAGCGCCCACUGUCUCGCCAAUCUUGCUCCCCGCCCGUUUCCCUCUCCCCGCUACACGCCACAGCGCCCCUGUCCUCUUGUACGCGUGCAGUUUUUAAGAAAUCUGCACUGUGAAACGGCUCUCCUACAAGCGAGUGACCUGCUAGCUUGCAAGUGCACAGCGGAAGUCUGAGAGAGGGCCGAGGACAUCGCACCCAUCCAUCCCUUUGCGUGACCCAAGCAAGCUCAUGCGAGCAGUUAAGCGGACACAUAGUCUAGAUCGAUCGCCUUCAGCUAUUAAUCAAUGCGAGCAGCUGCAGGCAGGCAAAGCAAAGAGUGGACGGGUACCUGGCCGAUUGACAGCGCGCAUCGACCGGCAUGUGCAUCGUCGGCCCUUCCCUACGCGGGCCAUGUCACUAGCAUAUGCAUGCAUGGGGGGGCUCUGACCCUCAGAUUUGUUUGCAGUACUGCUAGCGUCCAGCAGUACGUUACACCACCAGCCCCAGCAGGCAGCAGCACCACGCAGCAGCGGCCACCAUUACUCACUCCUACCACCUCCACCCCACCGGUGAGGCCGUGGAUGGAUGGAUGGAUGGAUCCAGCGGCGAGUCAGACGCCUAAACCGUGAUGGACCGAUAUUAUUGUCAACUAACGUGUGCCCCCUGGCAUGCCCUUCCAAACGAAAAAGGAGGACGAGGGGUCGGCCCGGGGCGCUGUGCGCUGCGCUCCUUGCUUGCCCAUCUAGUCCACACCAGCGCUGCACUGUCUCUUUUGAUGCCAUGCCAUGCCGUGCCGUGCGCUCUCGUCUCAUGGGAGCCAAGAUCGAGGCCAGCCCAGCAUCGCACCUACUGACGCAGGAAAAUGCAUGGGACAAGGACGCUAGCUGGGCUACUGGAUGGAGCCUGGGCGCUCUCGGGGCAGGAGGAAAAAGGAAAAGAUUGAAAGGGGUCGCCGGUGUAGACGGGAAUUGAUGAGCUUGCACUUUGCGAAGCACAAGCAGAGGCAAGCAGGCAGGCCGGCCGGCCAACCCCUCUCUCUCUCUAGUGUAGUCCUGACUCCUCGCCAACCCACUUGAUGGCGAUCACAACUCCACAAGAGGCCACGCUGUUUAUUCACUGUGUGUUCAGUUAUCUUUGCCACCGGGCGUAUGAAUACAUGUUGUUUUUCAUAGCAGUGGGCAGUGGCAUCCAAUAAUUCGUUUAAGCCAGGGCGCCACAGAAACUGUGCUUGGAAUGAUAUAGGGCUAGUAUCCAAAAAGGGGCAAUUAACCGAUCGCCAUCUACGUUGUCACGCAUCCUCACUGUGCAAAUAUGCUGUGCAGACAUGAUCUAAUUUUUCUACAAACCAGGAGCAGGAGAAAGAUCACGCUUAGUUGGUCAAAUGUUGGCAUCCUAAUCAUGCUUCCCGGCCACACGCAAAGAAAACAAAAGGAAACAAGUAAUUGCUGUGUCCUCCACGUAUAAAAAAGCUUCACAAGAUGCCAGCUAGAAAAUUGUUUUGAAUGGAACCUAUCAAUGCUAUAGGUUUUGAAUAAAACUCGUCUAAAUAAGCACCAUGGUCAUUUCUUUCUAGACAGGCUUAGUUGUUCAAAUGAUGGCAUCCUAAUCAGGUUUCCCCCCACAUUAAAAAAGCAGAAGAUCAACUGAUUAAUUUUGUGUCUUAUGCAUCAGUGUUCUCCACCUAUUAAAGAAGCUUCACGAGAUGCCAGCUAGAAAAUUAUCUUGACACUAUCAUGCUGAUUAUGGUUUAUAUUAUAUACAGUACUACCUCCUUCGGCAGACAAUACAUCCUAAUCCCACCGUCAUUCGCGUCGACGAAAGAAGAACCCUACUGGUCGCCUCUUGCCUAGCUAGUUUAGAUGCUAAGAAGCAGAACCUAACACAGUUGAUGGCUAUUAGACUGUUAGUUGCACACAUACGCACAUGGCUGCACAGGAUCCUAAAAAUAAUCAUGCCUCAUGCAUGCAUGCCAAUUAUAUGGAGUGCAAAGCUAGAAAUGUUAUGUCAAAGACUCAGGCCACCUUAUGUAAGAUUGCAAUGUGGAAAAGAAACUUUGCAUGUUCCAACAAAUUAGAUGUUCUUAUUGUAAUAACACAUUAAAGUUGAAUUUGAUCAGAUAUCACCCACAAGUAUAUAUAAUGUACUCGCAGAGUUAUCACCGCACAUAAUACCAAAGCUAUAUCAAUAAAUGAAUUAUGUCACGGAUCACAAGGUCUUUGCAGCAAAAAAGAAAGAUGUCACGGGGUCUACCAAUAUCGGCUUUUGCUUGGAGAUCAAUUUGGUAAUCUAUGACAGCAUUAUCAAUUGUGAAGCUUGUACAUAAUCAUUUAAGAAUCAUUUUGUUGUUAUGGAUUUAUCCCACUGUACCUAUUUUCCCUUCACUUCUAUACUUGUACGUUAACCUAACUCAAUGAAAUAUAUCCUAGAAAAUGCGGACAUUUCAAUAUUAGUGCAUCCAUCACUUGAGAAAUCUUCAUGUUAAUUUAGUAAGGUAAGAUGCAUCAUUGCUCUGUUUAUCUUAAAGCAGAAGCAUGGGCUGCAUCAGGAUUCCCUCCCUCAGAUCUCUAUCGCCCUUGCUAGAUGCCAACCAUGAAACAUAAAGAGAGGAAGAGGUGCAAGAUAAGAGAAGGCGGGAAUAAAGAUGACAGUACUGAUGAGGAAAGCCACAAACAAUGGUUUCAGAGGUUGUACACAGCCAGUGCGAAACUGGGAACGGUAUCUUCUCCAUUAUAGUUAGGUCCCUAUAAACACUAUCUAGGAUCAUUAUAGUACUACUGAAAAACAGCGAGCUAGACCUAAUGGAUGCUUAGGUUCAUUCCUUUGAUGAGCAUGAUUCCACCAAGAGAAGCUAAAUGAAAGAAAGAAAGAUAGAGGAAAUAAAAGGAAGAAAGGAGUCAUCGAUGGCAAGGAAACUUUGGCAGGUAGAAAGAAGGGAUAGAAUUGUACCCCAGGAAGCCAUGGUGGGUUUGUUACAUGCUUGAGUUGGAUGAGCAAGAAGAUGCUAAACGGAAAGUCGAUAGACAGGGAUGGAUUGUCGUCAGUAACCGACUGUCAGAUAGCAACUGAGGCUGCUCUUCUGUAAAGAUGUCAAGUUUAGCUGUGAUCAUUUCCUGAACCAGCUUGUGUUGCCUCCAUUAGAAUUUGAAAGGUGGAUCUUCCAAGGGCAAUUUCUUUUAAUUAUUCGCUAACAUACGAGAAGUGGAGAUGGAGAUGUGCACGAUGAGUCAUCCUUGAUCCCCACCUGUCAAUUAGCAGGUAAUGGGAUUCCGACAAAUUUUCUACGGAGACAACACGGCAAAUAUGACUUUUCAUGGUCAUCUACUUUCUCAUGUAUACCGAACUUUUCAAUUAUAUUAGCAUAUCCAAAGUUAAUGCGCGUUCCUGGAUUUGACAUUUGUUGCUACCCAUGUCCACACUACAUAUGCAAUGUAGCUUACUUUGGACAGCACUGCAGACAACAAUGAAAGCAAUUGCAUAGACAGUGUUUUUGGCAGAUAGCUUAAGUUGGUGUUACAAUGUAUUUACUCAGUCCAUGAUCUUAAUUUAUUUGAGAAUUAACUAGUAAGCUUCUACUCAUACUUCCACGUGGUUAUCUGUAUCAGAGAUUAAAAAGUAAUUGUUCCAUCUAACAAGCUAGAUAAACUACUAGUUGCCUACACUAAACCGUGUCACAAUUAGGAAAAAGGAAAACUCUUCACAGCAGAACCAUUGCAGAAAUGUUGCCCAGAAAAAAAAAACAUAUUCCCAUCACCACUUGGCACUUGGGCCAAUAUGUCAAUCUGCCGUCGCGUAAUUUGGUACCACCCAUCAAUCUUUCUCAAUCUAAAAGGUUGGCAAAUGAGAGAGAUGGCCCAGCGGAGGAGGACCGUGGGCAACCAAAUCCAAACAAAUAUGCAGAUGGAACACUUACAUGAUAGACUAGCGAAAAACAAUCGAAAGUGGGUCAGUGGAUGCAAGAUUGCAAUGCAUAAAGCAUGCACCUUCGCAAAGGCUGCCAAGAUUAGAACACAUUGGUGCGCGGAGAGAACUAGCUAGCAGAAAUACAACAAAUCGAGAACAUGGGAGGAUCCUCACUUUAAAAAUAUUUUGGGAGGACAUAUCAUAUACUCCCUCCAUAAAGUAAUAUAAGAGCGUUUAGAUCACUACUUUAGUUAUCUAAAUGCUCUUAUAUUAGUUUACAGAGGGAGUAUGACCUAUGUGUGUUAGAGUUACCAUCAUAGCUCAAAGUUUCACACAUGGGAGUGGAUUGACAAAACUAUCCUGGUCAGUUAAAAUGAUGGUUCCGAAUUCUAACAGAGAUUUAGGAUAGAUUUCAGUUUAGGGAGCGACUCAAUUAUCUUUGCAAACGGCAUCUCUCCCAAAUUUACUAAACUGCAUAUCUCGAUAUAAACUAGCUCUGAGAAUCUCAGAUUACUGAAUUUGACGAACGAUUGCCCCUAUCGCGGCCAGGUAAAUUAUUUGGAGUAGCAUUUAAACAGCAAAGGGUAAAUAAUUUUGCUUACAAACCAAGUACGCACUGGGGAUUGGGGCAAGGCAGAGACGGCACGGCGCGACCAGAAAUUCACAGGUAAAUUUUUUGGAGUGGCAUUUAAACAGCAAAGGGUGAAUAAUUUUGCGUACAAACCAAGUACGCACCGGGGAUUAGGGCAAGGCAGAGAGGGGACGACGCGACCAGAAAUUCGCAGGAGACGGUGCAGCUUGCAGUGGCGGCCAAACGCAACUGACACUCUGAUACGGGAGAAUAUUGCGCGCCGAUGAAAACCGCCAAGAGCUCGCGAUCGUCUACCGGCAGCCCUGCUCCGGCACGGCGGCGCCGACGCGAGGCAGCGGAGAGACCGGUG
This 6590-nucleotide long non-coding RNA is filed under the name Triticum aestivum (bread wheat). Its description in RNAcentral is "long non-coding RNA (TAES_LNC012240)". The record is from RNAcentral. Lineage: Eukaryota; Viridiplantae; Streptophyta; Magnoliopsida; Poales; Poaceae.